UACAGAGGGUGCGAGCGUUAAUCGGAAUUACUGGGCGUAAAGCGUGCGUAGACGGUUAUUUAAGUCGGAUGUGAAAGCCCCGGGCUCAACCUGGGAAUUGCAUUCGAGACUGAAUAGCUAGGGUGCGGUAGAGGGAAGCGGAAUUUCCGGUGUAGCGGUGAAAUGCGUAGAUAUCGGAAGAACACCAGUGGCGAAGGCGACUCACUGGACACGUAUUGACGCUGAGGUGCGAAAGCGUGGGGAGCAAACAGG
This 252-nucleotide ribosomal RNA is filed under the name uncultured bacterium. Its description in RNAcentral is "partial 16S ribosomal RNA". It matches the Rfam family "Bacterial small subunit ribosomal RNA", at positions 524 to 776 of the family's 1533-position model. The record is from RNAcentral.